Molecule: non-coding RNA, 1130 nt
Organism: Oryctolagus cuniculus (rabbit)
Lineage: Eukaryota; Metazoa; Chordata; Mammalia; Lagomorpha; Leporidae
Source: RefSeq, a predicted model, not a curated record
GGAUGUGGAAAGCAGAUGUUUCGGCCGUGGUAUUUCUUGGAGAAACCUGGCAAGAGAACGUCUUCUGUGAAGAGGAGUCCUGAGAAACACUGUGUAUUUUGCAGUGGUUGAGGACAACCUUGCAGAGAGACAUACAGAGAUCCUCCAUCUGCUGGUUCAGUCCUCAAAUGCCUGCAUCAGCUGAGACUGGACCAUGCUGAAGUCAGGAGCCUGGAGCUCCAUUUCAGUCUCUUUUGGGGGUGGCAGAGACUCGGUUAGUUGAGCCAUCACCUGCUGUCUCCAAAGUGUGCACAUUAGCAGGAGGCUGAAUCAGAAGCAGAGCCAGGACUUAAAUCAGGCACUCCAAUAUGGGAUGCAGGUGUCCCAAAUGAAGACUUAACUGCGCACCAAAUGCCCAGUGCUAUUUUUACAUUUAAAGGAAUUUAUAAAAACUAUAUUCCUGAAUAUGUUUGAAUAACCAAAGAAAAGCCAGAGAAAUGGAAAACAUGAAGAAAUCCAGGAGAGGGAACACAAUUUAGGAAAGAAGUUUAUUAUCCUCUCAUGGUGUGUCACUGUGGCUUGUCAGAACUCAGAGUGGGGGUAGGACGAACAGAGAAUGAGAGAAAAACAGAGAAGGACCCUAGGGGAGGGCAGAUAGGCUAAGAGUCUUGCAGACUGGCCUUAUUGAAAGUUUUCUUUGGAAGUAAAUGGCUUGGCACUAUCCAGGCCAUGAGACCUUCUAAACCCAAAUGGAAAAAAUUAGAGUUUCCCUCUUCAUCAAGCAGAAUUGUUUACCAAUCUAAGGUAAACAAGAGUUGAGAGUGAAAAACCAAAGCUAUUUACUCAGAUUAGUCAUUGGGUGGUCCUGGAUGUCCCAGUGGAGUGAAUGGUGAAUCCAUAUUCCCAAGUCUGAAGACAACAUUCAAAAUUUCCUCUCUGUAUUUUUCUAGGAGAUAAUGUGUUGGCAAAUGGCUCCAAAAAUUGAACUCUGUUCCCUUCCCAUGUAAAGGCCAAUGAACAAGGAGAGAAAAACAAACAACUGGAAGAUACCUGCUCUGUUCCUGUGGGAAAUUUAGUGACCUCACCUACAGAAACGAUUUGUGAACUAAGUGAUUUAGAAGACUCCUUUCAGCAAUAAAAUUUGGCACUUA